AGUAAUGCUUGGGAAUCUAGCUUAUGGAGGGGGAUAACUACGGAAAACUGUAGCUAAUACCGCGUAGAAUCGGGAGAUGAAAGUGUGGGACCUUCGGGCCACAUGCCAUAGGAUGAGCCCAAGUGGGAUUAGGUAGUUGGUGAGGUAAAGGCUCACCAAGCCGACGAUCUCUAGCUGGUCUGAGAGGAUGACCAGCCACACUGGGACUGAGACACGGCCCAG
Molecule: ribosomal RNA, 222 nt
Filed under: uncultured bacterium
Lineage: Bacteria
Description: partial 16S ribosomal RNA
Rfam family: Bacterial small subunit ribosomal RNA
Source: RNAcentral